CACCUAGUAAGCAAUGGAUGCAGCUUGUUGAUAAUCGGCUCGAUGAAGCCUACUUAAUCGGAGUGCAAAAAUUUUUGGAUUAUGCUUUUCAGAAAACGGGAGAAGAAUAUGAAAUACGAUGUCCAUGUGUCAAAUAUUGUAAUACAACUUUAGGAACUCGUAAGAUAGUUGAGACACAUUUGAAAGUAUAUGAAAUAAUUCAAAAUUAUACUUUUUGGUGAUGAAGUAGAAGAAUGUGAGAGUGAAGAUGAAGUAGAAGAACUGUUGAGAGAUUUAUAUCCUAAUCUUGAUGGAAGAACUGUGCCUACUGAUUGUGAUGAUUUACUUGAGGAGGAACCAAAUGUUGAAACAAAAAAAUUUGAUAGGCUAUUGAAAGAUUUCGAACAGUCACUGUAUCAAAAGACUACUGCUAUCAAAGAGAGGAUAUUAAGCAAGAAAAGUUGGAUCAUAUGUGGGCAGCUAUUGAGGUUUUGAAGAUUGAAGCUACAAGUCAAGAUGCAAGUUUGGAAAAUUGGAAGCUUCAAGCUCAUUAUUAUUUUGUUAAGAAUGUUAUGUAAAACUUGAUAUCAUAGUCUAGCUCAGGAUUUAGCUAAGUUUUUUUGUUAAGGUGUCGAGCAAAUACUGAAAUUAACAUCAUGGGAUGUUAAUAUUGCAAUAAAUAACUUUAUUACCUUUUUA
Molecule: long non-coding RNA, 678 nt
Organism: Nicotiana attenuata
Lineage: Eukaryota; Viridiplantae; Streptophyta; Magnoliopsida; Solanales; Solanaceae
Exons: 2
Source: RefSeq, a predicted model, not a curated record